Molecule: non-coding RNA, 27 nt
Filed under: Cricetulus griseus (Chinese hamster)
Lineage: Eukaryota; Metazoa; Chordata; Mammalia; Rodentia; Cricetidae
Source: RNAcentral
AAUGCAUGCAAGCCCUGGGAUUCUUUA